RNAcentral lists this ribosomal RNA (896 nucleotides) under uncultured organism. Its description in RNAcentral is "bacterial SSU rRNA". It matches the Rfam family "Bacterial small subunit ribosomal RNA", at positions 549 to 1435 of the family's 1533-position model. The record is from RNAcentral.
AAUAACUGGGCGUAAAGGGUACGUAGGCUUUUUGGAGGUCUUCGGGAAAUCCACAGGCUCAACUUGUGGCUUGCCGGAAAAACUGCAGAGAUUGAAUCCGGAAGGGGAAANCGGAAUUCCUGGUGUANCGGUGAAAUGCGUAGAUAUCAGGAGGAACACCAGUGGCGAAGGCGGCUUUCUGGUCCGGAAUUGACGCUGAUGUACUAAAGCGUGGGUAGCAAACAGGAUUAGAUACCCUGGUAGUCCACGCCCUAAACGAUGUAUACUUGAUGUCGGGAUGUUCGGUCGUCUCGGUGUCGUAGCUAACGUGUUAAGUAUACCGCCUGGGGACUACGGUCGCAAGACUGAAACUCAAAGGAAUUGACGGGGGCCCGCACCAGCGGUGGAACAUGUGGUUUAAUUCGAUGCAACGCGAAGAACCUUACCUGGGCUUGACAUAUGUAUGAAGUAUGUAAGAAAUUAUGUAUUCUGUCUGAUUUUUCAGACAGCAUAUAUACAGGUGAUGCAUGGCUGUCGUCAGCUCGUGUCGUGAGAUGUAGGGUUAAGUCCCUUAACGAGCGCAACCCUUACUUUUAGUUGCCAUCAGGUAAAGCUGGGGACUCUAGAAGGACUGCCGAGGUUAACUCGGAGGAAGGUGGGGAUGACGUCAAGUCAGUAUGUCCCUUAUGUCCAGGGCUACACACGUGUUACAAUGGCCGGUACAGAGUGCCGCGAAGCCGCGAGGUGAAGCAAAUCACUCAAAGCCGGUCCCAGUUCGGAUUGGAGUCUGCAAUUCGACUCCAUGAAGUUGGAAUCGCUAGUAAUCGCAGAACAGCACGCUGCGGUGAUACGUUCCCGGGCAUUGUACACACCGCCCGUCACGCCAUGGAAGUUGGGAGCACCCAAAGUUGCUGUCU